Long non-coding RNA from Oncorhynchus kisutch (coho salmon), 3665 nucleotides. The record is from Ensembl. Lineage: Eukaryota; Metazoa; Chordata; Actinopteri; Salmoniformes; Salmonidae.
GUUUUGUGCAACUUAUUUACAUUUAAGGAACUUUAAGGGAGAAGAUAAGGGGGAAAUGUACCUGUGGUGUUUCAUGCAACUGGGCCCUGAUCCUCUGGAAGGAGCAUCAUGAGUCAUCAUCCAACCCCUCCUGGACAAUGGCUACACCCCCAUGUUUACUCAGUGCCCUCUCCACCUCUGUCAUACCCACAGCACGGUGGCGCUCUGGAAGUCUUGUCUACUCGUCUAAGCGUGGCCUCGCUUGGCUGCUUGUCGCCCACACACUCUCGAGAGCUCUUCACUAGGGAUCCGACCGACGCCGCAGUCCAAGCACACAGCCAAACUGAGGAUUCCAUAGAUUCGUCUGUGUUGUGUGUUAUGGUGUCCAUCGGGACACACUGGGAGAGCACUGAGGGUCAGAGGUCGACGAUCACUCUUCCCCAUCCCCCACCCCGGCUAUAGUGUGAGUCUUUAACGGCAGCCCCAUCUUCCCCUGGCUGGGAGAUGGAAGCUGGGCUGGCCAGGACAGGAGCCAGGUGGUCUGGAUCCCUCCUGUGAGUGGCUUGAGUGGCUGCCUUUCCAAGAGCCCCGGGAGCACAGCUGCUUGUCCCAUUGCUCUUCACAAGAGCAGGGGAUUAAAUGGAGAAGAGAGAGAAUGAGGGACAGAGAGAGAGAGAGAGAGAAAGUGUAAGAAGUAGAAAUUGAAAAACUGGAAAUCUAAGGGAGAGGGUAAAUAGUAGGCCAAUGCCACACAGACGUGCACCAGGUUUGUGAGAAUGGAUGGGUUUCACAAAAUAGCAUUUUUGAAAUUUGAGUUGAAAUAUGAAUUCAAAUAGGAACAUAACAUACAUUUUCACCUCAGCUCAAUUGUGGUAUGAGCACCCUUUACCUGGUAUAAAAGGUUUUCUUAUAGUGAGGAAGUAACUCCAGAAAAACCUGGGCCAAAUGUACUAGUUUUCCUACAGCUUCAAUGCUAGGAACUCUAAUGAUAAUACGUAAGGAGUCACACAAGGGACAACACAUAGAGGGGAAUGGCCCUGACAACAACAACAAAAAGGAUCUUAGGAUGCAAUUAACCACAUAGAGGUCAGAGUCUAUUUGCCAAGGGUUCUAUUGGGAGAUCCUCCAUAUAACAUAAGAACUAAAAUCAUUACAGCCUAUAGACAUCAUGAGUGUUAAUGAUGUCUCUCACAGGAGGGAUAAACUGUCGGGAACUGUUCUGCCAGGUGGGUGGAAAUCCACUGUAACUGUCUUUUCACACCAUAAUGACGGUGUCUCCUUAACACAAAAGAGAACACACAACGUGAUUAGUCUCAUAAUAUCAAUGCCUCAUUUCAAAUACUGCAUUUUUCCUGAGGGCAAUCUUCUUCGGUUAUCUGGGACAGGGAUAUGGGUGAUUUAGAUGAAAAUGCAAUCACUCUCCUGAGUGUUUAUGUGGUUUGCUAAAUGAAUUGUGACGUGCACUUCUAAAGAAUUGGCCAGAGAAAAUCAAUUUAAUUGAGAUACCAACACUGCAAAGUGCCACUUAUCUUUAUACUCGCUGUUGGACACUUUGUGGCUGUGCUUUUUAUUACAGUGUAUUAGAUCAAGCGGCAGAAAGUCAUAUUACACCUGAAUAACCUGACUGAAAUAGUGAUAAUAUCCAUCAUAUUACAUAUUACAUUAUAUUCAACAUGAUAGAAUUAUUAUAUCAUCAGCAUAUACAGUUGUACUAUGCUCAUAAGGCAUUUAUAAGGUAUAUUCUUCAAGAAUCAAUGGGUAUAUCCUACCCUGAACAAAAAUAUAAACACAACAUGUAAAGUAUUGAUCCCAUGUUUCAUGAGCUGAAAUAGAAAAAGCACAAAAAGCUCAUUUCUCACUAAUUUUGUGCACAAAUUUGUUUAUAUCGUUGUUAGUGAGCAUUUCUCCUUUGCCAAGAUAAUCCAUCCACCUGACAGGUGUGGCAUAUCAAGAAGCUGAUUAAACAGCAUAGCCAUUGCACAGGUGCACCUUGUGUUGGGGACAAUAAAAGGCCACUCUAAAAUGUGCAGUUUUGUCACACAACACAGAUGUCUAAAGUUUUGACGGAGUGUGCAAUUGGCAUGCUGACUGCAGGAAUGUACACCAGUGCUGUUGCCAGAGAAUAUGAAUGUGCAUUCCCUUACCAUAAGCUGCCUCCAACAUCAUUCUUAUGCCCUACAAGGCCCACCCAUGCCUGCACCCCUGCCCAGUCACGUGGAAUCCAUAGAUUAGGGCCUAAUGAAUUUAUUUCAAUUGACUGAUUUCUUUAUAUGAAACGUAACUCAGUAAAAUCUUUGAAAUUGUUGAAUGUUGCUUUUAUAUUUAUGUUCAGUGUACAUAUCAUUACCACAGAACAGAAGUACAUCUUACAGACUGUUCUCAUGCUCCUCACAGUACGUUAUGGGCUAAUGGCUCAGCUGUGUGAGGCUGUAGUGUACAACCGUCACAUUACACCCUGCAUCUGCAAACUCUAAAUUGGCCAGAAUGAUACAAUGACUCACAUCAAAGGCACAAUCACAGUUCAUUUGAAGUGCAUGCACAAUGCACCAGGGCAAGGAUCAGCCAUGUCCAGCGAAGUGGUCUUCUUCCCAGAAUAUAAACAUCUUCCUUGUUCUUGGUGGAUGUCUUUGCAUAUUCAUGCCUUUCCAAGUGGCCCUUUAAUUAUAGACUGCAGAUUCAUAUUCAUUGGAUCUUUUGUUUUGUACAGAUGUUUUCUAGCCACAUGUGCAGGAAUACGAAUGGGUAAAUAUUUCACCACAGUAGCUCUCAAUUUGUUUUGGCAAUAGGGGAAAGAAUCACAAUAGAACAUAUUUAUACAGUAUAUACACACAUAUACGUUUAUAUUUGUUAUAAUAUAAACCAUUUAUUGGCUUAACAAGGACAUUGAAGAAGGUGGUAUAGAAUGCAUUAAAUAUCCACAUUCCCUAUCAAACCAGUAUUGAUGCUUUGCCUCAAGGUGUCAAAAAAUGUAAAAACAAACAAACAUAGGCUAUCAAAAGAGCUGUUGUACAUUUGUGCUGGGAUGUCUGGUAUCCAGCAUCUAGGAGAGAGAUAAAUGGAGAAAUACACAGAACUGGAAAAGGGUCUAUACAUAUCUAAAUGGGUCUAUGCAUAUUGAUGUGUGUGCUCUCUAGGUGAUUGGACCUGAUAGUGUCAUAGAAACACCUGAGAAAGAUGGCCUUGUGAUAGGCUAUAUAGCUACAGUAUAGGCGUAUAUAGGCUAUAGGCCUAUCGUCAUCAUUAUCGUCAUUGCUACAACUCGUCUAGCAGUUUACUAGGCUAUUUGGUGAUUGCUGGUGCAAUUCAAAUACAACAUCCUAUAACAUACAUUUUUCUUGAGAUCACAGGUGGACCAGGUGGAUGACAUUGUUUUAUAUGGAUGAAUAACAAAUGGGUCGUUCCACUAUUCCUGUGCCUUUUGAGAAGUGUAACUUGGUAAAAAAAAAUAUCUGCAGUAAGUGACUUUUAAGUGCUAAAUAAAUUAACUGGGUUGACCGUCACAAGUUAAGGUUAAGUUUAGGCAUUAACUCAGACUUCUUACGGUUAGAGUUAAGGUUUGGGAUAGGCUAAAAACAAAAAUAUAAACAAAUAAAAAUAAACUACUUUCUAUCGCUGGAUUCCAACAUGCAACCUUUGGAAUCAGAGGAUCCUUACUCCUGUCCGUCAUCCCCGAUCCACAACGCCCU